UCAAGUGAAUAAGUGCAUGUGGUGGAUGCCUUGGCGAUUACAGGCGAUGAAGGACGUAGUAGCUUGCGAAAAGCUGCGGGGAGCUGGCAAACGAGCUUUGAUCCGCAGAUGUCCGAAUGGGGAAACCCACUCAGCAAUGAGUAUCCCGCAAGGGAGGCAAACCUGGAGAACUGAAACAUCUAAGUACCCAGAGGAAAAGAAAUCAACCGAGAUUCCGAAAGUAGUGGCGAGCGAAAUCGGAGGAGCCAUACAGUGUUAUAGUAUUGAGAUAGAAAAACAGGCUGGGAAGCCUGACCGUAGAGGGUGAUAGUCCCGUAUUCGAAAUCCAAUAUUAAGAACUAAGCUGUUAAGAAGUAGGGCGGGACACGUGGAAUCCUGUCUGAACAUGGGGGGACCAUCCUCCAAGGCUAAAUACUCGUAAUCGACCGAUAGUGAACAAGUACCGUGAGGGAAAGGCGAAAAGAACCCCGGGAGGGGAGUGAAAUAGAUCCUGAAACCGCAUGCAUACAAACAGUGGGAGCCCUGAAAUAGCGGGUGACUGCGUACCUUUUGUAUAAUGGGUCAGCGACUUACAUUCUGUAGCGAGCUUAACCGAAUAGGGGAGGCGUAGGGAAACCGAGUCUGAAUAGGGCGAUAGUUGCAGGGUGUAGACCCGAAACCGGAUGAGCUAUCCAUGGCCAGGAUGAAGGUGCAGUAACAUGCACUGGAGGUCCGAACCGACUAAUGUUGCAAAAUUAGCGGAUGAGCUGUGGAUAGGGGUGAAAGGCUAAACAAAUCCGGAGAUAGCUGGUUCUCCUCGAAAACUAUUUAGGUAGUGCCUCGUGGUUAACACUUCUUGGGGUAGAGCACUGUUAUGGCUAGGGGGUUAUUGCAACUUACCAAACCAUGGCAAACUCCGAAUACGAGAAAGUGAUACACGGGAGACAGACAUCUGGUGCUAACGUCAGGUGUCGAAAGGGAAACAACCCAGACCGCCAGCUAAGGUCCCAAAUGAUCAAUUAAGUGGUAAACGAUGUGGGAAGGCAUAGACAGCUAGGAUGUUGGCUUAGAAGCAGCCAUCAUUUAAAGAAAGCGUAAUAGCUCACUAGUCAAGUCGUCCUGCGCGGAAGAUGUAACGGGGCUAAAUUGAUAACCGAAGCUGCGGAUAGAACUUAGGUUCUAUGGUAGAGGAGCGUUCUGUAGGCCAAUGAAGGUGUCUUGAGAAGGAUGCUGGAGGUAUCAGAAGUGCGAAUGCUGACAUGAGUAGCGUUAAAGCGGGUGAAAAGCCCGCUCGCCGAAAGUCCAAGGUUUCCUACGCAACGUUAAUCGGCGUAGGGUGAGUCGGCCCCUAAGGUGAGGCAGAGAUGCGUAGCCGAUGGGAAACAGGUUAAUAUUCCUGUACCGAUGUAUAGUGCGAUGUGGGGACGGAGAAGGUUAGGUUAGCCAACUGUUGGAAAUGUUGGUUUAAGCGUGAAGGUGUGUAUCUUAGGCAAAUCCGGGAUACUUUAACACUGAGGCGUGAUGACGAGGUGCUACGGCACUGAAGUAAUUGAUACCAUGCUUCCAGGAAAAGCCACUAAGCUUCAGCUAUAUAUUGACCGUACCGCAAACCGACACUGGUGGACGAGAUGAGUAUUCUAAGGCGCUUGAGAGAACUCUGGAGAAGGAACUCGGCAAAUUAGCUCCGUAACUUCGGGAGAAGGAGCGCCCCGAUAAUGUGUAGGACUUCGCGUCCGAAGCAGUAAGGGGUUGCAGUGAACUGGUGGCUGCGACUGUUUAUUAAAAACACAGCACUCUGCAAACACGAAAGUGGACGUAUAGGGUGUGACGCCUGCCCGGUGCUGGAAGAUUAAAUGAUGGGGUGCAAGCUCUUGAUUGAAGUCCCAGUAAACGGCGGCCGUAACUAUAACGGUCCUAAGGUAGCGAAAUUCCUUGUCGGGUAAGUUCCGACCCGCACGAAUGGCGUAACGAUGGCCACACUGUCUCCUCCAGAGACUCAGCGAAGUUGAAAUGUUUGUGAAGAUGCAAUCUCCCCGCGGCUAGACGGAAAGACCCCAUGCACCUUUACUGCAGCUUUGUAUUGGACUUUGACCAUAUCUGUGUAGGAUAGGUGGGAGGCUUUGAAGUUGUGACGCUAGUCACGAUGGAGCCGACGUUGAAAUACCACCCUGAUAUGUUUGAGGUUCUAACCUAGGUAUAACAGUACCGGGGACAGUACAUGGUAGGCAGUUUGACUGGGGCGGUCUCCUCCCAAAGAGUAACGGAGGAGUACGAAGGUAACCUAGAUACGGACGGAAAUCGUAUUGAUAGUGCAAUGGCAAAAGGUUGCUUGACUGCGAGACUGACAAGUCGAGCAGGUGCGAAAGCAGGUCAUAGUGAUCCGGUGGUUCUGAAUGGAAGGGCCAUCGCUCAACGGAUAAAAGGUACGCUGGGGAUAACAGGCUGAUACCGCCCAAGAGUUCACAUCGACGGCGGUGUUUGGCACCUCGAUGUCGGCUCAUCUCAUCCUGGGGCUGAAGUCGGUCCCAAGGGUAUGGCUGUUCGCCAUUUAAAGAGGUACGUGAGCUGGGUUUAAAACGUCGUGAGACAGUUUGGUCCCUAUCUGCCGUGGGCGUUGGAGAUUUGAGGGGGGCUGCUCCUAGUACGAGAGGACCGGAGUGGACAGACCUCUGGUGUACCGGUUGUCACGCCAGUGGCAUUGCCGGGUAGCUAAGUCUGGAAAAGAUAACCGCUGAAAGCAUCUAAGUGGGAAACUUGCCUCGAGAUAAGAUCUCCCUGAGUAUUAAAUACUCCAUAAGGGUCGUUGGAGACUACAACGUUGAUAGGUCAGGUGUGGAAGCGCAGUAAUGUGUUAAGCUAACUGAUACUAAUUGCCCGUGAGGCUUGACUCU
RNAcentral lists this ribosomal RNA (2870 nucleotides) under wastewater metagenome. Its description in RNAcentral is "bacterial LSU rRNA". It matches the Rfam family "Bacterial large subunit ribosomal RNA". The record is from RNAcentral.